Molecule: small nucleolar RNA, 129 nt
Organism: Mastomys coucha (southern multimammate mouse)
Lineage: Eukaryota; Metazoa; Chordata; Mammalia; Rodentia; Muridae
Product: small nucleolar RNA SNORA17
Exons: 1
Source: RefSeq, a predicted model, not a curated record
CCUGCCCAUGGAGGCAUUGCAAGUGUGGCUGUGUCACAUGUGUGUCAGUAGGUGGCAGAGAGGAAAGAGGUUAUUUCUACACUCACUGUUCUGAUCUCAAAUCAUCUGAAUGAUUAAUAGACUAACAUU